CCUACGGGCGGCAGCAGUGGGGAAUAUUGGGCAAUGGGCGCAAGUCUGACCCAGCAAUGCCGCGUGAAGGAAGACGGCUCUCGGGUUGUUAACUUCCUUUUAGAGGGAGGAGCACAAGACUGUACCUCUUGAAUAAGCCACGGCUAACUAGGUGCCAGCAGCCGCGUUAAUACGUAGGUGGCAAGCGUUGUCCGGAUUUACUGGGUGUAAAGGGCGUGCAGCCGGGAAGACAAGUCAGAGGUGAAAUCCCGCGGCUCAACCGCGGAACUGGGUUUGAUACUGUUUUUCUAGAGUACCGGUGAGGUAAGCGGAAUGUAUGGUGUAGCGGGGAAAUGCGUAGAGAUAAGACAGAACACCAGUGGCGAAGGCAGAUGACUGAACGGCAUCUGACGGUGAGGCGCGAAAGCGUGGGGAGCAAACAGGAUUAGAUACCCUUGUAGUC
This 442-nucleotide ribosomal RNA is filed under the name uncultured bacterium. RNAcentral describes it as "partial 16S ribosomal RNA". It matches the Rfam family "Bacterial small subunit ribosomal RNA", at positions 338 to 795 of the family's 1533-position model. The record is from RNAcentral.